RNAcentral lists this transfer RNA (72 nucleotides) under Salmo salar (Atlantic salmon). It matches the Rfam family "tRNA". From Rfam's summary of the family: Transfer RNA (tRNA) molecules are approximately 80 nucleotides in length. Their secondary structure includes four short double-helical elements and three loops (D, anti-codon, and T loops). Further hydrogen bonds mediate the characteristic L-shaped molecular structure. tRNAs have two regions of fundamental functional importance: the anti-codon, which is responsible for specific mRNA codon recognition, and the 3' end, to which the tRNAs corresponding amino acid is attached (by aminoacyl-tRNA synthetases). tRNAs cope with the degeneracy of the genetic code in two manners: having more than one tRNA (with a specific anti-codon) for a particular amino acid; and 'wobble' base-pairing, i.e. permitting non-standard base-pairing at the 3rd anti-codon position. The record is from Rfam by way of RNAcentral. Lineage: Eukaryota; Metazoa; Chordata; Actinopteri; Salmoniformes; Salmonidae.
CCCACUGUAGCUCAGUUGGUAGAGCAUGGCGCUUGCAAUGCCAGGGUUGUGGGUUGGAUUCCCAUGGGGGGC